Long non-coding RNA from Cannabis sativa, 4792 nucleotides. RefSeq lists it as uncharacterized. The record is from RefSeq and is a predicted model, not a curated record. NCBI's taxonomy places the organism in Eukaryota, Viridiplantae, Streptophyta, Magnoliopsida, Rosales, Cannabaceae. The transcript has 2 exons.
UUUGACGCACGCCGCAUAUAUGUACUGUAGUGUCAGGUUUGUGUGGUUGGACAAAAGGGAGGUUUCCUUUUAAUAGUGCGUGCACUCUUAUGCUCUGACACAAGAGAAAUCUUAAUUCGAUGGGAUAGGGUGUCAGAGGGCAGCCACAUCAUCCUAUACUAAGCUUAUGAGGCGCCUCUUGGAGAGUACCCUUUCUGGAUGUGUUUAAACACUCAUCCGGAAGGCUUUGAGUGUUCCGUCCCAUAAUAAAAGUGGAGAUUUUCUCAGGUCGAGAUAAGCCUCGUCUCGGACGCGAGUCUUAUGAGCUUUUAGAUGGACUUGGGCCCAUCCUUUCGUUUAGGCUAAACCUCUCCUCAUGGAAAGGCUUUUAACCAAGCCAUAUUAGGCUAAUUUGAACCUCUCCUAUUAUUGUUGAUAUAUGUAGAAUGAGUAGAUUUUUUUUUUAAUAAUGUGUAUUUUAUCUACUUUUUUGAUUAAUUUUUUUUUAAUAAAUUGAUUAAUAUCUUUUAAUAUUAUGUAGAAGUUACUAGUGAGACAACAUUAUCCUUUGGAAAAAGAAAGAGAUAAUUAUAUAAGAGAUCAUUUUUUGUAAAAAAUUUAUACGUUUACGUUUAAUAUUUUUAUAAUUUUCCAACAAAAUUAUAUGAAAACAACAAAAAAAUUAUAUAAAAGUAACAUAAAAAUAACACCUAAAUAAUAUCAAAAUAACCAUAAAAGAUAACAUACAGAUAAUAAAAUAUCGACAACAAAUUAACAAGAGUACAAUAUAAAAAAUCGUAUUUUUGUAAAUAAAAUAAAAAAAAUCGUAAAAAUAUUUAAAAUUCUGUGAAACCGUAUUUUUGUAAUUUUUUUUAUUAUUUUUGUGUAUUUGUGAAAUAAUUUCAAAAAGAAAAGAAAAGAAAUCUUAAAAAGGAAAAACAGAAAAGCCCACAGCAGAAGCCCAUAAUGUUAGGGUUUCUUAUUUACUCAUUAUAUAUAUGAAGAGGCUAUUAUUUCUACUACAAUCAUCGUCUUCUUCUUCCUCUUCACUAAAGAUUUAAGUCGAUGUUAGGGUUUAUUCAAUGUGCUGAGUACAUCACCCACUGUUUUUUUUCCUCUCAAUGAUAUGGUUUUUGGAUUUCUAUCUAAUGAGUAUUUGAUCGGAAUAACGUUCACAAGACAAGUAUUGCUAUUUUAUUUUCCUGUUCUAUACUAAGCUUUAAGUGUUUAUGUUAUUUUUCAUUUCUGAAAUCAGAUUCAAAGAUAAAUAUUGAAACUGUCAAAUCCCAGUUGCUCCAUCCAUCUAUUCAGCAUCUGGAAUCCAUUAGCCAUUGCUUAUAUCAUAGUGGCCGCCAAAGAGCUUUCGCCUUAGCCAGGUUUGAGAGCUAAUGCAGUUUUAUCCUUCCUUGGAUGUCUGAGACAAUACAUUGUGAUUUUUUAGAAGUGGGUUGGUUUGUUUUGCUGGGUUGAUCUUGGUUUUAUAUGUUAAUAUCUGUCUUUUGUGGAUAGCUUUUGUUACCUAUGUCAGUUAUUAUUUGAUUUGGUUUUCUUCAGUCAAUUUUGUCCAUGAUGAUAACUUUAAGGCUUGUUUCUCAAAACAUUCGCAGUGGCCGCCAAAGAGUUUUCGCCUUUGCCAGGCUUGAGAGCUAAUGCAGCUUUAUCCUUCCUUGGAUGUCUGAGGCAAUACGUUAUAAUUUCUUAGAAGUAGAUUGGAUUGUUUUUGGGGUUUUUGUAUUACAUUAUUUGCAGUUUUUAAUUGAAAAAGCCAAUUUGCAGAGCAAAAGCGUCGAUUAAUAUGAUGGCGCAGUUUGCAUUGAAGGUUGGCAAUAUCAAAUUCAGUAUGCGAUUCUCCGUGCCUAUCAAAUUAAUUCAGUUUUGAUUAUGGCCUCGAACAAGUCGCUACAUUUCAAUCUACUUAAUAUUGCUUUACUUUUCUCAAAUAUAUGGAUAAAAUAUAGUGUGAAUUAUGUAUAACUGAAGCUGGUGUCUCAACUGCAGCCCAACCCAAGAUGUAACGAUUUUUCUGCUUAUGUAAAAAAAUUUUGUACCAUUUUUAAGCAGGGGAAGUCAAUUAGUAAAGAAGAGCAGUGAAGAGAAAAGACUAUCAGAGAAGUGGUCAACUAUAUGUACCUAUUGUUUUACACAUUUGAUGUUUUUUUGAGAUCAGAUAGUAUUUUUUUUUGGGUGAAAUUGCUAUGUUAAUUAUGUGCUUUGCUUUUCUUCUUCCAAAUUUAUCCAUGAUGAUAACUCUAAGGCUUGUUUCUCAAAACAUUCGCAGUGGCCGUCAAAGAGCUUUCGCCUUCGCCAGGCUUGAGAGCUAAUGCAGCUUUAUCCUUCCUUGGAUGUCUGAGACAUGAUACAUUUUAUGGUUUCUUUACAUUAUCAAAAAAAGAAUGGUAGAUUGGUUUGUUUCUGUUGAUCUUGGUAUUUUGUGCUAUGUCCUAUAUGUGCUUUGUUUAUAUCUUUUGUUACCUAUGUCAGUAAUUAUUAUGUACGUUUUUCUUCUGUCAAUUAUGUCCAUGAUGAUAAAUCUAAGGCUUGUUUCUCAAAACAUUCGCAGUGGCCGCCUAAGAGCUUUCGCCUUCGCCAGGCUUGAGAGUUAAUGCAGCUAUAUCCUUCCUUGGAUGUCUGAGACAUGUAUCAUUCUGAUUUCUUAGUAGUAGAUUGGUUUGUGUUUGUUGGGCUGAUCUUUUUGUUUUAUGUUAAUAAUAUCUAUCUCUGGUUUGUGAAAAGUUUUUGCGGCCUAUGUCUAUAUUUAUUUGGUAUGGUUUUUUUUGUCAAUUUUGUCUAUGAUGAUAACUUUAAGGCUUGUUUCUCAAAACAUUCGCAGUGGCCGACAAAGAGCUUUCGCCUUCGCCAGGCUUGAGAGUUAAUGCAGUUUUAUCCUUCCUUGGAUGUCUGAGACAAUACAUUAUGAUUUCUUAGAAGUGGAUUGGUUUGUUUUGCUGGGUUGAGCUUGGUGUUUUUUUGUUAAUAAUCUAUCUGUGUUUUGUGGAUGAUUUUUGUUACCAAUGUCAGUUAUUGUUUGAUUUUGUUUUCUUCAGUCAAUCUUGUCCAUGAUGAUAACUCUAAGGCUUGUUUCUCAAAACAUUCGCAGUGGCCGCCAAAGAGCUUUCGCCUUCGCCAGGCUUGAGAGCUAAUGCAGCUUUAUCCUUCCUUGGAUGUCUGAGACCUGAUUCAUUAUAAUUUCUUUGUAGAUUGGUUUGAUUUGUUGGGUUGAUAUUGGUAAUAUCUAUCUGUGCUUUGUGGAUGGAUAACAUUUGUUGCCUAUGUUAUUAAUUAUGUGCUUUGAUUUUCUGUAGUUAAUUUUGUCCAUGAUGAUUACCCUAAGGCUUUUUUAAUCAAUUCAUUUGCAGUAGCUGUCUAAUAGCUUGUCUUUGCUAGACUUUGAGAGAUAAUGCAGCUUUUGUCUUUGCCAGGCUUUGAGAGCUAAUGCUGCGUUAUCCUUCCUGAACUUCAAUUAUAUUUUGUUUUAUGUAGUUUGAUUGGUGUUUGACAUUUAUGGCUAAAUCUAUUUGCUUAGGGAUUGCUUUGGUUUCCUAUGUUAAUAACUCUAAUUCUUUUUUCUCAUUACAUUUACAACGGUUACCUAUCAGUUUUUGCCUUGCAGCUUUAUCUUUCCUUAGAUCUGAGUUGUAGUUUAUUAUAAUUGUCUCAAGUCUGAGGCUUGAGCUUCUGUUUUCGCUGGUAUGGAGAAUUUCCUUUGGUGCCUGAUAUUAAAUUGUUUUCUUGUUUUUGUUUAUGUGGCUUCAGAGUUUUGUGAUUUUUUUUUUGUUACAUUGUUUGUGGUGAUGGUAAUAGUUUUUUUAUUAUUUAGCAUAAUUUUCUUCUUUUUUGCCAUUUUUAAAUUGCCAAAUCAGUAUUUUUGUUCUGUUUCUUGGGGUCUUGUCGUUUGCCCCUUCAGUAGUUUUCUGAGUGCUGUAGGGAAGAGAAGACCCCCAUAUCCAUGUUCAUCCUGUUCACUUUGUCAGCCGACUUUUAUGUCUUUCUGAUCAUUUAUGGAUGGUAGAUUUCGUUUUUAAUUGUACAAAUUUGUGUUUUGAAUUUCUCUUAAUUUUUUGUUCUUAUUUUUUUUUGGUGCUUUGAAUCAUUUGAAGUUGAAAAUUACCUUCUAAUUUGGUAAUCCUAUAAUUUGUACAGCUUUUCAAUUACCUUUUUUGAUAAAUGGUUUUUGCUAAACUUGCAUUGAUAUGAUUGUUUUCGUGUUUUUGCUAGUAUUUGUGGCAUUUGGGGUUGUGAUUUUUCCAUCAGAAAAUUAUAAGACAAUUUUUUGAUGAAUGCUUGAACUUGCAUGGUGGUGAUGGGUUUGCUUUGUUAAUGUAAUGUAAUGUAAUUUAUUGAUGUGUUUAGAACAAGCCUAGAUGUCAUAACUGAAGUUUACUCAAAUAUAUGUAUAGGAUUUUGUAUGUUGUUACAUAGUUGCCUUUCCUUUAUUCACAUUCUCAUGUUUGUUUCUAUACAUUAUUUAGAGUUUUUAAUAGAAAAAAGCCAAUUUGCAGAGCAAAAGCGUCAAAUAAUAAGAUGGCCCAGUUUGCAUUGAAGGUUGGCGAUAUCAAAUUCAGUAUGCGAUUCUCCGUGCCUAUCAAAUUAAUUCAGUUUUGACUAUGGCCUCGAACAAGUCGCAACAAUUCAAUCUACUUAAUCUUGCUUUUCUUUUUUAUCAUUUAUAUGGAUAGGAAAUAGUGCUAAUUAUGUAAAACCAAGGCUAUUGCUACAGCAAAACCCAAGAUGUACAAUUUUUCCUACUUACAAGAAACUGAGACUGGUGUAACAUGUUAACUACAACACAACAGGAUUUACCUUUUGUUAUUGA